GACGAACGCUGGCGGCGUGCUUAAUACAUGCAAGUCGAACGGAAAGGCCCUGCUUUUGUGGGGUUCUCGAGUGGCGAACGGGUGAGUAACACGUGAGUAACCUGCCCUUGACUUUGGGAUAACUUCAGGAAACUGGGGCUAAUACCGGAUAGGAGCUCCUGCUGCAUGGUGGGGGUUGGAAAGUUUCGGCGGUUGGGGAUGGACUGGCGGCUUAUCAGCUUGUUGGUGGGGUAGUGGCUUACCAAGGCUUUGACGGGUAGCCGGCCUGAGAGGGUGACCGGCCACAUUGGGACUGAGAUACGGCCCAGACUGCUACGGGAGGCAGCAGUGGGGAAUAUUGCACAAUGGGCGGAAGCCUGAUGCAGCAACGCCGCGUGCGGGAUGACGGCCUUCGGGUUGUAAACAGCUUUCGCCUGUGACGAAGCGUGAGUGACGGUAAUGGGUAAAGAAGCACCGGCUAACUACGUG
RNAcentral lists this ribosomal RNA (468 nucleotides) under uncultured bacterium. Its description in RNAcentral is "partial 16S ribosomal RNA". It matches the Rfam family "Bacterial small subunit ribosomal RNA", at positions 28 to 507 of the family's 1533-position model. The record is from RNAcentral.